RNAcentral lists this long non-coding RNA (2414 nucleotides) under Homo sapiens (human). Its description in RNAcentral is "HSALNT0351836". Lineage: Eukaryota; Metazoa; Chordata; Mammalia; Primates; Hominidae. The record is from RNAcentral.
UGCCACUGUACUCCAGCCUGGGCAGCAGAGCAAGACCCUGUCUCAAAAAUAAAAAUAAAAAAUAAAAGAGACAGAGUGGUGAUUUGAACCCAGAGACUAAAGCCUCAAACCCUAUAACUAAUCUGCUUCGCACUAAUAAACAAUGAAGAGCAAUAAUAUACUUCACAUGAAUGCAGUACUUUUCAUUUGAUGAUUGCAACAGCCCAGAGUGCUAUUAUUUAUCCCCAUUUAUCAAAUAAGGAAACUGAGGCUCCACAGGGAAAGUGAUUCAAAGUCAUCUAGCUAAUAAACAGCGGCACCAGAACUUAGCCUUGGGUUUACUUACUUAAAGUCUAGAUUUCCCCCGCCCAGAAAUAGGGGCAGUGGUUGGUGACUUAUUGUGACUGAGGCUAGGUCUCAAAGUUCCUAAGAAUAAGAAUUGGAUGGGAGGUGGGGGGCAACUUUUGUGCAAGUUUCACAUUAACUUCUGGCCCCAGAUUCCUAGGGAGAGACCAGUCCAUCAGCAGGGGCCUCUCCAGCUGUACAGCUGAAUUGCCAUUUCUGGGCUGUGGGAAUUCUUUUUUGAUUCAUUAAAACCUACAGACCAAUCUCAGACACACUUCCUUGGGCUAUAACCAGCUGGAGGCAGGUGGAGCCACCUUUGACUCUUAAGAGUAGGAAAUCACUAGAAAUGGUGGUGACUGCCUGAGAAGCCCUUCACGGCUUCCCUUUGGAGCAGAUCCAGCUCCUGGCUCCUACAAACCUAGAGGGAGCCAUGCCUUUCUUCUCACAUUUCAGUUUGAUCUCACAUCUUCCUUAAGAGACACAGAGGCAGAAAUCGUUAACUUCUCUUUUUCUUCACCAGAAGAAGCUCCUUAAAAUAGAUUUAUGCAAAUCCCACAACCUUUUCUGUAUUAACAUGUAAAAAACAGAGGAAGAAAGAAGAUCCCAGGUCACUUGGUACUUUAAACAACAACCACCAUAUAUAACCAAAGCUCACCAUGUUGCUGGCAGAGCCCAUGACAUUCGUUUUGGUGUUUUGUGAUUGCGCUAGGCUCAAAAGACCCAGAUUCCACUUUUGGCCCCACCACUUACUGGCAACAUGACCUAGGGCUAGUUAUUUCAUCUCUGUAAGUUUCAGUUUCCUCACUCCUCGGUAAGUUUGUGAACUCUAAGGGGCUAUAUGUAUGCGAGAUGUAGUUUAAUUUAAAAAUUUCUGGGACAGAACAAAACAUGCUGCUGACCUACAGUAGAAUUAUUCUUCUAAACCAAAUGAAAGAAUAUUAGCAGUUAUACCCAUUUGAUUUUCAGUGCUAUGUGACCUGAAAUAGUUGGUCAGCUACAAGUGAAAUCUCAGCCACAAACAUUCCCCCAGGAAGCCUUCCUUCACCCUCUUCACCCUAGCCCAGCAGAGCUGGUGGUUCCUUUCCUUCUGCCCCCACAGCACCCAUCCCUUCUUCUUGAGCUUCAUCUCUGUCUUGCAAACUUCUCUUCAUUAUAUUCCCCCUUUACCUUGAGAAUGGGGAUUUUGUCUUCCCUUUCUUAUAGGCUUGGCCUCUGAUGCCAAGGUCUGCACCGCAGGGACUUAGCAGACACUUUCUGAAGGGAUUACUAAAUGAGGAAUUAUUUCAUGGCAGGGAGGAAAUCUGUCUUACCUUUAUCCAAAGAGCCAACCAUGGAGGAUCAGAGGCCUCAGUGAGCACCUGGUUAGUGCCCCUCCACCCACAAAUGAGGAAACUGAGGCUCAGGGAGGUGAGAGAACUUUUACAUUUUACUGGGUGAGGUAAUGACAAAGUUGGAACUGGAGGCCAGGACUCUGCCCAUUCCCCAUCACCGUGUGAGUUCAAGUUCUCAGUUAAAGAAGGAAUAACAAAAGUGUGGAAAUGUUACACAAUCUGAGGUGUGAUUCUGCAGGAUUGACUGUGGCAACCAGAAGUGUCAGAGACUUGCUAAAUCAUUGCCCACUUUCUUAUAUAGUACAAUAACUUUUCCCCCAGCUAACCAGCGGUGUUUCCUGUAUCCCAAGUGGAGAAAUAAUACACCUUAAAUAGACACAUGUCAUUUCACAAUCUUUGAAGGGAAGACAAAGGACAUUUCUGAACUCUUGAGCACUAGGAAGUAUGACUCCCACUCUGUCGGGUCACAGCCACUCUCAGACGUCACCUGCGAGCACUGGAAACCCCACUGGCAGCCCUUGACAGUUCAUAGAGUUCAUGAGAUCGAAGCAAGAGAGAGAGAGAAAAACCUUAGGCUCUGAAGAGUUUGUAGACGUCCAGCAAGGACCACGCAUGCGCAAGACAGCAAGUCCGGCGCAUCUGAGAGCAGCAGAACAGGGCCACGCGAAAAGCUCCUUCGGAUCUACCAGAAAGCUCCUUCCUUGGCAUUUGGGAGAAGAGUGGGUCAUAAUAAAAUGUCCGGUUUCUUUGGAAAAGUUA